CCCUUAAAAUUAUUCUGGCUUUGCUCCUGAUUCUGCUAAAUCGGCGGUUGACAUAUCAAGGUUCAUUCAAUGAUACAUGAAAGAAAUAGAAGGCGUCAAGGAAAAGGGGGUUAUCAGGAAGGUGAUCUAUGCAAAAUGGAAGCCCCCUUUGGGAAUAUGCAUCAAACUUAAUUUUGACGCAGCCUUUGAUAAGGAUUUUUUUCAAAUCUGGGACGGGGAUUGUAGCCAGAAAUGCGCAAGGGCAGGUGAUUGCAUCACGUUCAAUACUCCACUCAAACGUGGGCUCAGCAUUUGUAGCAGAAGCCCUCGCAUGUUCAUAGACAGUUAAAACGGGGUUAGAGUUGGGGGUUACAGAGGCAAUUAUCGAAGACGAUUCUCUAACGGUUAUCAAGAAAUGCAACAAUAUGUCCCAAGAUAAGUCUGAAAUACGAGCUCACAUCCAUAAUAUACAGUAUCACAGUAGCAGAUUUCUCUCCAUACAGUUUAAACAUGCAAAUCGUGAAGGUAAUCAACUCGCACACAGAUUAACAGGUUGAAAGUUUGAGAAAUGGAGAGGAGUUUUACCUGGAAGGAGCGGUCCCGGGAUUCGCAAGGAGAACGAUGGAGGACGAGUGGAUUCGUGAACCAGAUUGAAGGAACAAUAGGGAAGUGCUUCGAUCCCUAAGGAGCAGAAAGGAGAAAAAUCAUUUCUGUGAAAAUGCAAAUAUGGAAGGGAUGGGGAAGAGGUAAGUGAUUUUGUUUUGCAAUGAUGACAAUAGAUGGGACGGGUAGGAUUCCCGAGGAAUGGGCUGACUCAUGUUUAUUUUUUAAAUUCUAUUUUAUUUUCUUUUAAUGUUUUAAUUAUUUUGCUUUGGGCGGGUGAGUGCUAAGGCUCCUAGUGGAUUUUGAUGUAUACUUUGGUUUCA
Molecule: long non-coding RNA, 905 nt
Filed under: Gossypium barbadense (sea-island cotton)
Lineage: Eukaryota; Viridiplantae; Streptophyta; Magnoliopsida; Malvales; Malvaceae
Description: long non-coding RNA (GBAR_LNC006359)
Source: RNAcentral